UCUGAUAGUCCAUUAAGACAAGGUUUGUAAGCUAUUCCUAACUUCUUAUUUGUCUUAAUUUAAUCCUAUAAUUUUAAUCAACAAAUUCUAACAUCAGGGUCUUUAGGUUGAGGUUUGUAAGCUUUUCCUUCAGAUUGAUAAUUCAUUAAGGUAAGGUUUGUAAGAUUUUCAUUAAAUCCUUGUCUUUGUUUGAUUAAAAUUAGUCAUUUAAGCUCAAUAAGAUAAGUUAC
This 230-nucleotide long non-coding RNA is filed under the name Lathyrus oleraceus (garden pea). RNAcentral describes it as "Pisum sativum (pea) long non-coding RNA (PSAT_LNC002908)". The record is from RNAcentral. Lineage: Eukaryota; Viridiplantae; Streptophyta; Magnoliopsida; Fabales; Fabaceae.